Small nucleolar RNA from Phoenix dactylifera (date palm), 105 nucleotides. RefSeq annotates it as small nucleolar RNA Z103. The record is from RefSeq and is a predicted model, not a curated record. NCBI's taxonomy places the organism in Eukaryota, Viridiplantae, Streptophyta, Magnoliopsida, Arecales, Arecaceae.
ACGGAGGUGAUGAUCCUUUCCCCACAUGAUCGACUAUGAUUAUAUCGUGCUUUUAUAAUAUUCUCCUCUUAUCAGUGGAGAAAUUAAGCCAGGAUUCUGAUCCUA